GAUGAACGCUAGCUACAGGCUUAACACAUGCAAGUCGAGGGGCAGCAUGGUCUUAGCUUGCUAAGGCCGAUGGCGACCGGCGCACGGGUGAGUAACACGUAUCCAACCUGCCGUCUACUCUUGGACAGCCUUCUGAAAGGAAGAUUAAUACAAGGUGGCAUCAUGAGUUCACAUGUUCACAUGAUUAAAGGUAUUCCGGUAGACGAUGGGGAUGCGUUCCAUUAGAUAGUAGGCGGGGUAACGGCCCACCUAGUCUUCGAUGGAUAGGGGUUCUGAGAGGAAGGUCCCCCACAUUGGAACUGAGACACGGUCCAAACUCCUACGGGAGGCAGCAGUGAGGAAUAUUGGUCAAUGGGCGAGAGCCUGAACCAGCCAAGUAGCGUGAAGGAUGACUGCCCUAUGGGUUGUAAACUUCUUUUAUAAAGGAAUAAAGUCGGGUAUGUAUACCCGUUUGCAUGUACUUUAUGAAUAAGGAUCGGCUAACUCCGUG
Molecule: ribosomal RNA, 490 nt
Filed under: uncultured bacterium
Lineage: Bacteria
Description: partial 16S ribosomal RNA
Rfam family: Bacterial small subunit ribosomal RNA
Source: RNAcentral